GGAAACCCUCUCCACACUACACUCCACCAUCCACCAUGUUCGCCUCCUCCUUCUGCCGGCGGCGGCUCCUCCUCCGCAUCCCCGGCGAAGCUACAAACCUCCUCCAGCUCCAGUCCAUCCAUCUCGCCCGCAGCAGCUACUCCUCAACCGCCGUCUCCCGUGCACCCAGCUCCGACCUCUGCCCAGCCACCGUCUCCUACCUCAUCUCUUGCGGCCUCUCCCCCGCCGCCGCCGCCACCACGGCCACCACUCAAAGGAUCCGCAUCGUUUCCCCCGACAAGGCAGACGCCGUGUGCGCCCUCCUCAGAGCCUACGGCUUCGCCGACGCGGACAUCGUCCGCACGGUGCGCAGCGCCCCGUCCAUCCUCAUCACCGACCCCGAGCGGAUCCUCCGUCCCAAGCUCGACUUUUUCGCCUCCCUCCGCUUCGAGCCCCGCAAGAUCGCCACCGCGCCGUUCCUCCUCGUGUGCAGCCUCGACAAGAACAUCGUCCCGUCCAUCCGGUUCCUCCGCGGCGUCAUCGGCGGCGACGACCAGCUCCGCCGCGGCUUCUCCCGCGUUCCGCGGGCCCUCAUGGCGGACGUCGACCGGAACAUGCGCCCCGCCGUGGAGGCCCUCCGCCGCUGCGGCCUCGACGACGCCGCCAUCUCCAAGCUCCUCGUCAUCCAGAUGGGCGUGCUCCUCACGUCGCCGGAUCGCAUCUGCGAAAUCUUCCAGGAACUCAAGGCAAUUGGUAUGUCCAUCUCGGACUCGCGCUUCCUAUACUGCUUCCGCGCGAUGUGCAGCCUUAAGAGGGGCGCAUGGCGGCAGAAGCUCGCAUUGCUCCGGAGCUUCGGGCUGUCGGAGGGUGAGGUGGUCAAGGCCUUCAAGACGCAGCCCAUGCUGUUCCUUUACGCCGAUGACAACAUCAAAAGGAAGCUCCGGUUCUUGCUGGACGAGGUCAAGCUUGGAGUAAGCGAUGUAAUUGCCCACCCUGUGAUUCUGUCUUAUAGCAUGGAGAACUGCAUCCUGCCAAGGUGCGCAGUGCUGAGCUUGUUGAUGAAGGAGGGGAAGAUCCAGAGAGAGAUCAAAUUGCUUCCAGCAUUGCUUGGUUGUUCCACAGUGUUCUCGACCAGAUAUGUACUGAGGCAUGCUGAUGAUGUGCCAGAUGUUGUCAAGGCGUAUGAGGCACUGGUAGCAUGUACUUGGAGUGCCAUUCAGCAUUUACCCUUGUCAGGGGUUCUCCAUAUUAAAGAUGUGCGACCUGUAUGGAAGCAAGCUUUGCAAGUAGUGAUCAUUGACCUGAAGUAAAUAAUGUGAGCCGCAAAAAGUAAAGUGGACAUGAGUGAUACGCUGGACUAUCUGACGAGAAGAAGCAACAGAUGGCCCAACUACAAAAGAAAGUUGCAGCCCUCUGUGUGAAUUUCACUGUACCUCAAUCCUCUACCCCACAAGUUUCACCUGCUUGUGCCUGGAGGGCCCGAUGAAGAUUAUUCCCUGCUUUGAAAGCCUUCAUGGUGUUUCAUCCUUAUCCCAAAGACUGCUCUUCUCUAUACCACAGUGGCUAAGCAAUGCCCAGAUGAGGGUUAUGAACUCGCCUCCCGACUCGAGGUGAUGUUUGUGAUCCGCUACAUUCCAACUUGGGGCCAUGUGCACAAGCAAGUCAGCCCACACUUCAGCUAGAAUCUUCCACCGGUCUUCUGUGUUCUCUUCAUUGUCGAUCAGGGCCUUUCCAAGAGUAGCACCUUGCUGCACUAUGUUCAUGUCCGUAAUCCUAUCCAGAUUGUCCGUCGCGGCUUCUUCCGCUAUGGCAAUGAGUUUGCUAUAGCUACACUUUCUCAAGUUGCAAUCUUUGAGCUGUUUACGAACAUCUGCCAAGGUUUCCUCAAAGAUCAAAUCAGGCACAACGAAACUAUCUGGCAACAGUGUAGACAUAAAAACCUGCAGAUAAGCACAGUACCGGGACAAGCUGAUUGCAAUGUGGUAAUCAGUCUCUAGUUGACCGGCGAUUUUCUCGUUGACAAGGUACGGCGGCUUUGAAGUGCAGGUGGCGAAUGUCUUCAGGCCUGACCAGGUAGAGCGAAGGAACCCAGGUUUUUCCAUGUCAAUUUUAGACUCUCGCGCAAGUUCGAUUUCGCAGAGGCUGGUGGCAAUGUGCCACACCAGAAUGACCUGAGAGCAUGUGUGUAGCUCACGGCAGGCCCAGCUGUACCGCUUAAACUUUUCGCCACUCAGCGAUGGAAUUUCUUUGGGCAGCUGAGUGUUGUUGAGGUUCACGUCGCGGAGCACCUGUAAGAUUGCUGCCUUUACACAAUUUGGGACCUUGAUAGCUUCACCACGUUUUCUUCCAUCUAAAUCCUGUGGCAUCUUUCCCAGGCUAAUGGCAUUUGCCAUUUUCCGAAAGAAUGGCUUGUAAUUGUAGGACUCCAAGAAGUCGUACUGGUCCAUGCAUCCAUGCCAUGCCUCAGCAAUAUUGGAGUUGUAAAAUGAUCUGAUAAAACGCCCAUCACGAUAAAACCAGCUGAACCAUGAUCGGCUCUGCACAUACUUGGACACGAGGAGUAAUCUUGUCCAGUUCGACAGCAGGUACGUGACCAUCUCCCAGACCUCCUUGAACAUCAUGAAGACCAUGAACAACCAAGUGAUUAAGACAUCAACAUUCCUUCCGUUCCUGUGGAGCAUAAAAUUGUCCUCCUUAUUCACGGGUUGUAGGUGGUAGACUGUUCGGAUGUCCACAGCCAGCCAGAAGGCGACAGCAAAGGUUGCCAUCGACAGGAGGAGACUGAAAAACAUAGAACUAAGCCCGCUCCAGAAGACCAGAGGGUAGAGGGUGUGGAAGUAGUCUCUGGUGAAUGCAAGCUCUAACUCCAGGAUUUUGAAUACCCGCUCCCCCUCCUUCUCUGCCUUCUCCCGUUCCAAAUCUAUCCCUUCUGUCUCUGGCGACACAUUAUCCGCCAUGCCCGCUGUUUCUGCUUCAGGCACUGUCUCUGUCUCCACUGCAGCCACUCCUGCCAUUUGGCUCAUCUCUAUCUCCACAGCCAUUGCUGAAGCUGCCAUUGUUUCUGUCUCUCUCGCCGCCUGAACAGCUGCCACCGUGUCAAUAGUUGCCGUCUGUGCCGCUGCCUCUGCUGCCGUUUGUUUUUGACUACCAGUGAUUUUUGAUUUGAUUAGAUUUCGUGUACUGUCAAUGCUUUCUCUUUGCAGGUUCACAUCCUCAAACCUACAGCGAAGCAGCCUAGACAGCGUGAAAGCCACGCUGAUAUCCUUGUAUCUGUCGCCCUCGCCGCUGCUGGAGCUUAGCAGCGGCUCCUUGCAUCCCGAGAUCUUGUCCAGUGUGAUCAGCGACGUCUUCUCAACCCCCUCAAGCUGCAGAGUAUAACUAGGCCUCUUCAAAAUGAUGUUCUUAUCGGACUCUCCGCAAACCAGGUAAUUUUUAUCGUUGUUGCUGUCCUGCUCACCACCGCCCUGUUCACGGUCACGGGGACGGUUGCGCAUGUACUCUGGGAUGAACUCAGAGUUCCGGCCAUGCAACAGCGAUCUGAUGGCCAUCUCAUGUGCGACAAAGCGGUAUAGGCUCUUCAGCAGCAGAAGGGCCCACAGGGACCAAAGGGGUCUCGUGAACUGCAAGGCGCGGGUGCCAGUCAAGACUCCGGCUCCCAUGAACUUGAUCACAUUUCCCAACUCUGAGAGCCGGCGACUUUGGUCCGGGAUGCCGUAUCCGGAUAGGUAACCGAGACUGGCACGGAGGCUCACCAACACGACGGCCCACACAGGGAACAUCUGAUUACCAAAAGAUGCAGCUUGCAUGGACCCUAUUAGAUACACUACUAUCCGAUCGGACAGGCUAUCCACGGCCUUGAAGACUUUGUUCAAAAACGAGCUGCGAGAUCGGCAACGGUAAAAGUCGACGAUGAACAUCACGAAGAACAUCGCCGUGACCAGUGCAACUAAUGAUUGGAUGCGGAUCAGGACAUAGAUGUCCUCUUUCAUCACGAGGAAGAAGGACUCAAUAACUUUGCGGAUGUUCACCAUUUCGGACAUUUCUAACAUUGCUGGACAGUCCUGCAGGGUAAGUUUUUCGUGAUGAGCAAAGUUUGGAACCCAAUUGAGAAAUGCAAAACUUCAUAGUACAAGUUCGUAAUAUGAAAAACGUUUUAAAUUAAUUAAAUAUGAUUAAAUUCAAGUAUAUAUUUCCAUAACAUUCCAACCUUACAUUUUCAUUAUCUUGCUAAUAUGAAAAACAGUAGCCAAGUUAAUUGGUAUAGAUUGCCCUAGUCUAACUCGUUCUCUAUGUUAGAAAAAGAGGAUCUUUGUUCUUGGGGUUUCAGAUACCUUACCUGUGUGUUUCUGAUAUUAGUUUUGUGGAUUAAUUUCUGAUUAAAGUUGCAAAAGUAUUUUAUUUGUAAGAGACAAUUAUAUUUCUGUGAUACCUCCUAAAUGUUUUCUACUCCCUCCGUCCCAUGAAAAAUGUUGAAGGUUUGUUAAAAUUCGGAUGUAUCUAGAUACUAUUUAGUGUCUAGAUAUAUCUAAAUUUAGAUAAAUAUAAGACAAACUUCAUGGGACCGAGGGAGUAUAUUGGAUUAGAUUUGGGAUGGUUGAGUUUAAAAGCUAAACCUUCUCUUAGACUUGCAACAACUACUGGGAGGUUGAGUGAAAAAAGUUGGCAGUAAGAAGGAUGAUGCACCGUCAAAAAGCUUUGCAGAUUCAGGAUAAUCUUCAUGUUUUUAUCAGAUCUUAUGGAUAAGUAUAGAGCAACUUAUUUCUGGGACAUAGAACUAACGACUGAAUGAUCCCUCUUUUCAUGUUGCUUUGGAUUGGGAAGUGCCAUUGCUACCAUAUACUACUGUUAUGGUACAUGACUCAAGGGCGGAGUCAAAAACAGCCCAAGUGUGACGCUAAUACUGGCUUAGGGAUGCUAAUCACCUAGAGAUUUCAUGUUUGUAACCUUGAAAUUUGAAACAUACUUAUUACACUGCAGCUGCUGGGACGGUUCUAGCACCAGGCGCAGCUCCGCCACUGACGUGACUUGAUGUGCAACAAAUCCAACGUGAAACAAUGAUGGCGUGCACUACCGUUGGAAGAGGUUCGACUGAAACUGCUGAACUUCCGAGCGGUUUUGAAAAUGCUACAUGAAAUCUGCUUAUUGUUGAAUGACAAUAAACUGAAGACUGUUUCUAUCUUGUGGAAUUGGUGGCAUGAACGGAUAUCAAAUAUGUCUUUCAUGCCUUGUUGUAUCGUUCAGAUUUGUUAUGUUCAUGAUGCUGUCUGAUGUGAUUAUUUGUUGAUAGCAACGAGGAAUGUGAUGAGGCGAAAGAGCAGGGGCAAGUGGCGUGAGGGCGGAGACGACGCUACGGUCCGGUGAGCUCUGUGUUUAUUUUUGUACAAUGGUGAGCUCUCGUUGGUAUGGUAUGGGAUCGGGGGAUUUAUAAUUUAUGCAGUGAGCUGUGGAUCAAGAUUGAGUGCGCUUUGACUAUACGGUCGAUCUUGAAAACAAGAAACCAAAGGAAAUAGUUAGUAGUAGUUGUGAUCAACUGUAUAGUAUACAUGAUUAGCUUUUCAUUAUAUGAACUGGACGAAAAUCUUUGAAUUUGGAUACAACUGUAUAUAUGUUCGCAUAUUUCAGUAGCUUGAAAUACUAUAUGAUUGCACAA
RNA transcript from Lolium perenne, 5629 nucleotides. It is a transcript of the gene named transcription termination factor MTERF8, chloroplastic, with no coding region annotated. NCBI's taxonomy places the organism in Eukaryota, Viridiplantae, Streptophyta, Magnoliopsida, Poales, Poaceae. The record is from RefSeq and is a predicted model, not a curated record.